Molecule: ribosomal RNA, 270 nt
Filed under: uncultured archaeon
Lineage: Archaea
Description: partial 16S ribosomal RNA
Rfam family: Archaeal small subunit ribosomal RNA
Source: RNAcentral
CUGCAGCUCAAGUGGUGACCACUAUUAUUGGGCCUAAAACGUCCGUAGCCUGUUUGGUAAAUGCCUGGGUAAAUCGUGUCGCUUAACGAUACGAAUUCCGGGUAGACUGCCAGGCUUGGGACCGGGAGAGGUUAGAGGUACUCCUGGGGUAGAGGUGAAAUUCUGUAAUCCUAGGGGGACCACCAGUGGCGAAGGCGUCUAACCAGAACGGGUCUGACGGUGAGGGACGAAGCCCUGGGGCGCAAACCGGAUUAGAUACCCGAGUAGUCC